UGCCAGACUCCUACGGGAGGCAGCAGUGAGGAAUAUUGGUCAAUGGGCGGGAGCCUGAACCAGCCAAGUCGCGUGAGGGAAGACGGUCCUAUGGAUUGUAAACCUCUUUAGGCGGGGAGCAAUGCCGGGCACGCGUGCCCGGAGGGAGAGUACCCGCAGAAUAAGCAUCGGCUAACUCCGUGCCAGCAGCCGCGGUAAUACGGAGGAUGCGAGCGUUAUCCGGAUUUAUUGGGUUUAAAGGGUGCGUAGGCGGAAUAUCAAGUCAGCGGUAAAAAUUCGGGGCUCAACCCCGUCGUGCCGUUGAAACUGAUGUUCUUGAGUGGGCGAGAAGUAUGCGGAAUGCGUGGUGUAGCGGUGAAAUGCAUAGAUAUCACGCAGAACUCCGAUUGCGAAGGCAGCAUACCGGCGCCCAACUGACGCUGAAGCACGAAGGCGUGGGUAUCGAACAGGAUUAGAUACCCUCGUAC
Molecule: ribosomal RNA, 467 nt
Filed under: uncultured bacterium
Lineage: Bacteria
Description: bacterial SSU rRNA
Rfam family: Bacterial small subunit ribosomal RNA
Source: RNAcentral